Molecule: ribosomal RNA, 497 nt
Filed under: uncultured bacterium
Lineage: Bacteria
Description: partial 16S ribosomal RNA
Rfam family: Bacterial small subunit ribosomal RNA
Source: RNAcentral
GAUGAACGCUGGCGGCGUGCCUAAUACAUGCAAGUCGAGCGAACAGAUGAGGAGCUUGCUCCUCUGACGUUAGCGGCGGACGGGUGAGUAACACGUGGAUAACCUACCUAUAAGACUGGGAUAACUUCGGGAAACCGGAGCUAAUACCGGAUAAUAUAUUGAACCGCAUGGUUCAAUAGUGAAAGACGGUUUUGCUGUCACUUAUAGAUGGAUCCGCGCCGCAUUAGCUAGUUGGUAGGGUAACGGCUUACCAAGGCAACGAUGCGUAGCCGACCUGAGAGGGUGAUCGGCCACACUGGAACUGAGACACGGUCCGGACUCCUACGGGAGGCAGCAGUAGGGAAUCUUCCGCAAUGGGCGAAAGCCUGACGGAGCAACGCCGCGUGAGUGAUGAAGGUCUUCGGAUCGUAAAACUCUGUUAUUAGGGAAGAACAAAUGUGUAAGUAACUAUGCACGUCUUGACGGUACCUAAUCAGAAAGCCACGGCUAACUACGUG